This 253-nucleotide ribosomal RNA is filed under the name uncultured bacterium. RNAcentral describes it as "partial 16S ribosomal RNA". It matches the Rfam family "Bacterial small subunit ribosomal RNA", at positions 524 to 776 of the family's 1533-position model. The record is from RNAcentral.
UACAGAGGUCUCAAGCGUUGUUCGGAUUCAUUGGGCGUAAAGGGUGUGUAGGUGGCGCGCUAAGUCGGGUGUGAAAUUUCGGAGCUUAACUCCGAAACUGCAUUCGAUACUGGCGUGCUUGGGGACUGGAGAGGAGACUGGAAUUCAUGGUGUAGCAGUGAAAUGCGUAGAGAUCAUGAGGAAGACCAGUGGCGAAGGCGGGUCUCUGGACAGUAACUGACGCUGAGACGCGAAAGCGUGGGGAGCAAACAGG